Molecule: ribosomal RNA, 433 nt
Filed under: uncultured bacterium
Lineage: Bacteria
Description: partial 16S ribosomal RNA
Rfam family: Bacterial small subunit ribosomal RNA
Source: RNAcentral
CUCUCCCUCUUUCUUCAGGCCUAACACAUGCAAGUCGAACGAACUCUUCGGAGUUAGUGGCGGACGGGUGAGUAACACGUGGGAACGUGCCUUUUGGUUCGGAAUAACUCAGGGAAACUUGUGCUAAUACCGAAUGUGCCCUUCGGGGGAAAGAUUUAUCGCCAUUAGAGCGGCCCGCGUCUGAUUAGCUAGUUGGUGAGGUAACGGCUCACCAAGGCGACGAUCAGUAGCUGGUCUGAGAGGAUGACCAGCCACACUGGGACUGAGACACGGCCCAGACUCCUACGGGAGGCAGCAGUGGGGAAUCUUGCGCAAUGGGCGAAAGCCUGACGCAGCCAUGCCGCGUGAAUGAUGAAGGUCUUAGGAUUGUAAAAUUCUUUCACCGGGGACGAUAAUGACGGUACCCGGAGAAGAAGCCCCGGCUAACUUCGUG